AGAGACAGCAGCAGCCACGGUAAUACGAAGGGUGCAAGCGUUACUCGGAAUUACUGGGCGUAAAGCGUGCGUAGGUGGUGGUUUAAGUCCGUUGUGAAAGCCCUGGGCUCAACCUGGGAAUUGCAGUGGAUACUGGGUCACUAGAGUGUGGUAGAGGAUAGUGGAAUUUCCGGUGUAGCAGUGAAAUGCGUAGAGAUCGGAAGGAACAUCUGUGGCGAAGGCGACUAUCUGGGCCAACACUGACACUGAGGCACGAAAGCGUGGGGAGCAAACAGGAUUAGAUACCCCCGUAGUCCCUGUCUCUUAUAA
RNAcentral lists this ribosomal RNA (309 nucleotides) under uncultured bacterium. RNAcentral's name for it is "partial 16S ribosomal RNA". It matches the Rfam family "Bacterial small subunit ribosomal RNA", at positions 504 to 809 of the family's 1533-position model. The record is from RNAcentral.